AAACGUUUGAAAUCAGUCAUGCGUGCGGGUAAUCAGCUUGGCCUUUGGGUCUUGUGCACUUUCUCGUUUCGCAGGUCAGCGUCGGUUUUGUUUGCCGGAUAAAUGCCAAGGGAAUGUAGCUCUACCUUUCACGAGGAGGGGUGUUAUAGACCUGGUAAAUACGGUGGUCGAGACCGAGGUCUGCAGUCGAUGCCUCUCGGGGCUGGGGACUCUAUCGCUCAUUCUCACCCGCGCUUAGACAGCUUGC
This 247-nucleotide ribosomal RNA is filed under the name Endogone sp. RNAcentral's name for it is "partial large subunit ribosomal RNA". The record is from RNAcentral. Lineage: Eukaryota; Fungi; Mucoromycota; Endogonomycetes; Endogonales; Endogonaceae.